AGGACGAACGCUGGCGGCGUGCUUAACACAUGCAAGUCGAGCGGAAAGGCCCUUCGGGGUACUCGAGCGGCGAACGGGUGAGUAACACGUGAGUAAUCUGCCCCUAGCUCUGGGAUAGCUCCGGGAAACCGGGAUUAAUACCGGAUACGACCACCUUAGACAUCUUUUGUGGUGGAAAGAAUUUCGGCUAGGGAUGAGCUCGCGGCCUAUCAGCUUGUUGGUGGGGUAACGGCCUACCAAGGCGACGACGGGUAGCCGGCCUGAGAGGGCGACCGGCCACACUGGGACUGAGACACGGCCCAGACUCCUACGGGAGGCAGCAGUGGGGAAUAUUGCGCAAUGGGCGAAAGCCUGACGCAGCGACGCCGCGUGGGGGAUGAAGGCCUUCGGGUUGUAAACCCCUUUCAGCAGGGACGAAGCGAAGUGACGGUACCUGCAGAAGAAGCGCCGGCUAACUACGCGCCAGCAGCCGC
RNAcentral lists this ribosomal RNA (473 nucleotides) under uncultured bacterium. RNAcentral's name for it is "SSU rRNA". It matches the Rfam family "Bacterial small subunit ribosomal RNA", at positions 26 to 518 of the family's 1533-position model. The record is from RNAcentral.